RNAcentral lists this ribosomal RNA (497 nucleotides) under uncultured bacterium. RNAcentral's name for it is "partial 16S ribosomal RNA". It matches the Rfam family "Bacterial small subunit ribosomal RNA", at positions 28 to 507 of the family's 1533-position model. The record is from RNAcentral.
GACGAACGCUGGCGGCGUGCUUAAUACAUGCAAGUAGAACGCUGAAGCUACGAGCUUGUUCUUCUUGGAAGAGUUGCGAGCGGGUGAGUAACGCGUAGGUAACCUGCCUUGUAGCGGGGUAUACCUAGUGGAAACGGUAGCUAAUACCGUAUAACCAUUCUUCACAUAUGUCAUGUAUUUAAGAGGGUCAGUUUCUCCUCUACAAGAUGGACCUCCGUUGUAUUAGCGAGUAGUUGAGGUAAUGGCUCACCUAGGCGACGAUACAUAGCCGACCUGAGAGGGUGAGUGGCCAGACUGGGACUGAGACACGGCCCAGAGUGAUACGGGAGGCAGCAGGAGGGAAUCGUGGGGCAGGGGGGCAAAACUGAGCGAGAAGCGCCGAGGGCGUGUACAAGGUUGUCGGAUGGUAAAGGUCGGUUGUAAGUUAAGAACGGGCGUGAGGGUGGAAAGUUCAGACUGUGACGGUAGCUGAACAGAAAGCGACGGCUAACUACGUG